CAAGUACUGGUUGAUACAUAUAUUAAACUGCAUGCAAUUAUGACGAAAAAAUAUCGAUGAUAAUAUUUUUUUACAUUUUAAGUCUUAAAUCAAUAAACCAUUAUUUAUACAUCAAAUUUCUCCUACUUCAUUUAGGCACACUCAGAGUAUGGUCUGCUGACAGAGCAUGUAGAGACCCUGAGGUUAUCGACUGUGGUGACAACUGUUGUGCUGAAAAUUUCACACAUAAUUGUUUGUCAGUAUCAGUGUUCAGGUGUUGGAAAUACAGUUUGUAACAAUCGAAAUAUCAGUAAACCACCAAAGAAUACGAAUGGUGCAACCGAAACACUACCACAAUAAUAACAAUUUUAGCAAGUGUAGUAUUAAUUAGUAUUAAACUCUUGUUUUGUUUGAUUGAUGCCGCGAUAAUGAAAACUAAUGUUUAUUCGAUUCUUCUUGUGCAGUUACCAAGCACAUUGUAGGAAGAAAAUGUGCAUUCCUUUCACUAGAAACAGACAGUUUUGAAUUGAAAAUUGGAUUUCCACGACGUAGCGCUUAAGCAGAAUCUCAUGUAAAAUAAAAUCUAUUUGACUAAACGAGUCUUGGUAUUCAUGGCUUUGAAGCACCAAACGCGUAGAAACUGAUAGACUAGUACAUAUAGAUAAUUUACAAAAAAUAUGUAAAUUUGUUUUGUCUGUUAAAUUGGUAUGACCUCAAAUUGUGUAUAUGCUAUAGACUGGGAUAUGUAAUAGAAUAAACGGUAAAGAAUUUUGCUGCACCAUAAGGAUAUCGACAUUCAAUGUCUCUUCAGUGAUGCUCGAGGCCAAAAUAUUGAACUGUUGUAAGGUCAAAUAUUUGACUAACUCUAUAUUUCAUCAUUCCCACAGUUGCAGUCCAUCCCCACCAUCAAUUCAAGUCGAAUUAAGCGGACGCCUAACGAUACAUAAAGUUCGCUAAUUUGAUCUUUUACAAACGUUUCAAACACUGUUUUGCUCCAGUUCAGAUAGCUCUCUUUUGAUUUGAGCGACUUUAGAAAGUUUUAACAUUUAUAGUCGUCAAACCAAUAUGUUUUUUUCUGUAAAAAUGAUAAGUUUUGUGUACCAACUAAUUCGAUAAUAUUAAAUCUUGAGAUCUGUAAAUUGAGUUGUAUUUUUUUAUUCAUAUUUUAUAAAGUUGCUCUUCACUUUGUACUUGUU
RNAcentral lists this long non-coding RNA (1175 nucleotides) under Mytilus galloprovincialis (Mediterranean mussel). Lineage: Eukaryota; Metazoa; Mollusca; Bivalvia; Mytilida; Mytilidae. The record is from RNAcentral.